RNAcentral lists this ribosomal RNA (120 nucleotides) under Escherichia coli P12b. Lineage: Bacteria; Pseudomonadati; Pseudomonadota; Gammaproteobacteria; Enterobacterales; Enterobacteriaceae. The record is from RNAcentral.
GCCUGGCGGCCGUAGCGCGGUGGUCCCACCUGACCCCAUGCCGAACUCAGAAGUGAAACGCCGUAGCGCCGAUGGUAGUGUGGGGUCUCCCCAUGCGAGAGUAGGGAACUGCCAGGCAUC